AGGGAGGGGGAAGAGGAGGACAGCCAGGAUAUGACAAUUACUGCAUCGACAUCUCCAUGGAGACGAGCUGGAGAUGUACCCACCCCCAGUAAGGUUACAGUCAUGUCUAAGGAGAGGUGCGAGAAGUGGUCAACAUUUCCUAUCAGCCCGAUCGACCCCAGUGUGUCACACAUGCAGACAUGAUUAAUGAAUGGGCGCAG
Molecule: long non-coding RNA, 200 nt
Filed under: Neogobius melanostomus (round goby)
Lineage: Eukaryota; Metazoa; Chordata; Actinopteri; Gobiiformes; Gobiidae
Description: lncRNA (ENSNMLG00000000459.1)
Source: RNAcentral